UGUGCCCCGCUGGUGGCUGCUGCACAGGAGUGCGGGAAGGAAAGGGUGUCCUGGGCUUGGAGAGAGGUUGGGGGGCGGGGGUGUCUCUGCUUUCCUGUUUCCUUCUAGAUCUAAGCCUAAAGCGUGAACCCGCAGCUGCUUUGGUAUUUAAAGGCCGGUGCUUGAAACGUUGUCUCGCAAGGGAAAAGUCAGAAUCUUAAUUUUACAAUCGUCGUUAAUGAGAGUGGUGAGACGCUAGAACAGGUUGCCCAGAGUAGCUGCAGAUGCCUCAUUCCUGCAAGUGCUCAAGGCAAGGUGAAGCAAAGAUUUUAUUUCCAUACAUAGAAUAGCAAGCAAGCACUUUGAGCAUAUUAUUUGUCUGACAAAAAUAAAAGCUGUCAAAAGGAGAAGAUGGACAUCCACAUAAUAAUGUAUUAAAAAUUAAUGAGAACGUAAGAAGAAAUUACUUUAAAUGCUCUUGCAGGAUAAGAAUAGCUCAGAGACUUCCGCUGCCCCCAAAACUAUCCUGAAGACAUCAGCUUUUUCAACACAUAGAACUGUUGGAAGAUAAUUAACAAAGAAUCUCUGAGAAAUGGCUUCAGAGAAGCAAUAGGGGAAUGGAUGAGAUGAGAGAAAACUUAUUCAGGAUGACAGAGGAAAACAAAGCACUUUGUAAUGUAUUUUAUAAUAAAAUAAAUCCAUCUACUGAAAGCAGGAGCACCCUUCUUUCCCAAUAUGGCAUUGCACAUGGCAGUCCCUGACAUCCUGAGGCACAUCUUCUACCUGACAACUAGACAGUCUUUGGCAACAGCUAAGAAUAAGUUUAUUUCAUGAAGAAGGUCCUACAGUAAUGUAUUAACU
Molecule: non-coding RNA, 840 nt
Organism: Cyanistes caeruleus (blue tit)
Lineage: Eukaryota; Metazoa; Chordata; Aves; Passeriformes; Paridae
Source: RefSeq, a predicted model, not a curated record